CCAUUUUUUAUGCAGGAUUUUGUUUCUUCAAUGGUAUGGGAAGAAGCCACCCAUUGAAGAGCGUUCCAGAAAUCUUCAGAGGAAGCCAUCCAUUGAAGAGCGUUCCAGAAAUCUUCAGAGGCUAUAGGCAAAGGAUGUACAGGGACGAUAUUCAACCAAAACGAUUAAAGCUUUUGCUUUGGCAGCUAAAAUGUACUUAUAAUACGGAAAUAAAAUUUGUAUAAAUAAAACUGAGUGACAUGUCCUACUGAUCUAGUUUACAAGAAUUGAUUCUAUCGAUGACAUUUAAAUCUAAGAAAAUUAUAGAUGUAUUGUCCUUUGUACGUAAGGAUCUUGCCUCACUCAACAAAAAAUUUGCUAUCUUUUCUGCCGAAUUCUCUUGAUUCAUGUCAUUUCGCUCCAUUGUCUGCAAAGAACAAAAUGUGACAUGAGAAUACAAUUAAUUUGGAACCAACUUCUCGAAUCAAUGCACAUAAUAAAACU
RNAcentral lists this long non-coding RNA (483 nucleotides) under Olea europaea subsp. europaea. The record is from RNAcentral. Lineage: Eukaryota; Viridiplantae; Streptophyta; Magnoliopsida; Lamiales; Oleaceae.